UUCAAGAAUGCACAAGAGAGAGGCAAAGAGUAAACACACAUCAAAUGAAAGGGUCACCUGCAUGCUGUUGAUUGGGCAUGGUCUGAGAUUAGAGUGAGUGGUCUGGGGUGACCUAGGAGGGUCAUCUGGAGAAGGAGGUGUUCAUACUGGUACAAAGAAGAGACUGGAGAGCUCCUAAAGUGAAGGCUCCAGUCUGAGCAGAGGCUGUGAUGUGGGGUGUUUGGAACAUGAUAACAUGAUGUCAGGAGACAAGGAACACCCAGAGGGUAGGAGUGUCUGAGAAUCGGGGGUGGACACUGCAGCCAGGCCUGCCCUAACCUUCCCUGCUUGGUCCCUGUAGAUGUUCUACUUUGGAAACAUCAGCAUUGGAACACCCCCUAAAGAGUUCAGCGUCCUCUUUGACACCGGCUCCUCUGACCUCUGGGUGUCCUCUGUCUUCUGCCACGAUCCAGGCUGUAGUGAGCACCAUUUUCCUCCCCUUGCCCUUCUUGUACUCCCCCUUUCACUUCCUUCUUGGUUCUUGGCACAUGACAGACCCUCAUCUUUUGUGUCUGCAGGUAAACACAGACUCUUCAACCCUCAUGGGUCUACCACCUUCCAGAUGACAGACCGUCACAUGCACUUUUGCAAUGAGCUUGGGGAUGUCACUGGGUUUUUUGGCCGUGACAUUGUUCGGGUAAAGUGGAAACAGAAGCAGAGUCAUGACUGGCCCUGGGAGCAACUGCUGCUUAUAAAACAGAUGCAAGGCUAGAUGACAAGACCCAUCCUCCCCAAAGUCCCUUAGAUAUUUGAGGCCCAUUCCAAAUAACCCUGUCCCUAGGGAGAGGCAUCCUUGCUAACAGAAUCUCUCAGAGUGGCUAACCCAGAGAGUAGCUUGGGGUGUGGACUUGCAGCUCCUUUGCCCUUGAGAAGCUCAAGGUUUAUUUUGCUGGGAGCAGGGAGAGAUGGGGGAAGAUCAUCACUUUUAUCUUCUCAGAAUGUGCCGGGCACUUUCAUGGUAAUAGUUAUUUAACCCUGCAACAACACCAUGCAGCAGGUACUUUUAUUAUUUUCAUGAUACAGGUAGGGGAACUAAGGUGCAGAAAGCAAGGGCCUUGCAAAGUUCACACAUGUGGUAGGUGGUGGAGCUGGGCUGGUCAGUCAGGAUUCAAGCAUGUGUUGGAUAUUUGGGGAGAGGAUAAAACUGAUCUGGAGCCCCUAGGGGCAGCCAAGGGCUUCAGGUAUCCAGGCAGAGAAAGCAGGUGGGCACACAUAUUGGAGGAGCCUGUUAGGGUUCUCACUCUAGGGGGCCUCUGAGAGUCAAAUAAAAACUAUGGCCCACUUCCACCAAAGUGCCUGAGUAUUUUCCCUCUCUAGCUUGUUCUCUCUCACUUAUACACAUACACAUACACCCACAUCCCCCAAAGCCUGUUUUCCCAGCAGAGUUUUCAUAAGAACCUAGCCAGCGACCUUGUAUAAUGGGCUUACAUCUUCCUGGGCAGAUGCAGAAUCCAUGAUGCAUUGCAAUGAAUUCAGUCCAUUUCUGUUAUCAGAUCGCAGUGAUGCCAAAGAGAAGACUACCUUGCUCUCUACCCACUUUUUCCUCAGGUGGGAACCAUUUGGUCUUGUCCUGAGUCUUGGUUACCCCACCUGUACCGAAGUCAUGAGGCCAAUUUGACUCACUCAGAUGGUGUUUGCAGGACAAGCAGGUGUUGUUAAAAUCCACAUCCCCACACCAAUGGAAACCGAGUUCCUGUCCCAGAUUGGUCUAACUAUCUGAGAUCAACCCAAGGUACAGCCAGGCCUCAGUUCUUCUCUGCAGUGCUAAUGGUAUCUCCUCCCCAGCCCCACUUCACAAUACUUUAUGUGGGAACACUCUCCUCUCCCACAGAUCGGAGACCUUGUCAUCAUGAACCAGACUUUUGCCCUGACCUACAGGCAGAUUAGCAAGAUCCUGCCAUUUGUACCUUUUGAGGGAGUCCUGGGUUUGGGCUACCCCAGCCUCACCACCUCCAGGAUCAUCCCUGUCUUUGACAGCCUGAUGCUACAAAAAGUCAUUUCUGAGCCCGUGUUUGCCUUCUACUUGAACAACAAGAAGAAGAAUGGCAGCGUGGUGAUGCUUGGUGGGGUGGACCAUUCCUAUUACAAGGGAGAACUCAACUGGGUACCAGUGUCCAAAUCUCUCUACUGGCAGAUAACUGUGGACCGUACUUGAUUUCAUGUCACGUCCAUACUACAAUCCCUCCUAUCGUUUUCACCAUCAAUGGCAUUGACUACCCAAUGCACCCUGAAGACUACAUCGUGACGAGUACUUGCAACCUCUGCUUCAGCGCUUUUCUAGGAGGCACAGAGAAAGUGACCAAAUCAGAGACCUGGAUACUGGGUGACGCCUUCCUGAGGCGGUAUUUCUCGGUUUUCGAUUGAGGAAACCACAGAAUUGGCCUGGCUCCCGCAGUGUAAAUGCUGGGCUGCUACAGAAAUCAAUCAGGCCCACUCCAAGUACACACUCACUCACAUGUAGGGCACUCCCUCCCAGGAAUGCUGGGGAACUGUGUUUGUUGCUCUGCAAAACCCUAUUCUCAGUAAAGAAUAAAGGAUUUUAUCUCA
This is an RNA transcript of Bubalus bubalis (water buffalo), 2586 nucleotides long. It is a transcript of the gene named pregnancy-associated glycoprotein-like, with no coding region annotated. The transcript has 4 exons. The record is from RefSeq and is a predicted model, not a curated record. Lineage: Eukaryota; Metazoa; Chordata; Mammalia; Artiodactyla; Bovidae.